Molecule: ribosomal RNA, 253 nt
Filed under: uncultured bacterium
Lineage: Bacteria
Description: partial 16S ribosomal RNA
Rfam family: Bacterial small subunit ribosomal RNA
Source: RNAcentral
UACGUAGGGGGCGAGCGUUGUCCGGAAUCAUUGGGCGUAAAGCGCGUGUAGGCGGCCCGGUAAGUCCGCUGUGAAAGUCCAGGGCUCAACCCUGGGAUGCCGGUGGAUACUGUCGGGCUCGAGUCCGGAAGAGGCGAGUGGAAUUCCUGGUGUAGUGGUGAAAUGCGCAGAUAUCAGGAGGAACACCAAUUGCGAAGGCAGCUCGCUGGGACGUUACUGACGCUGAGGCGCGAAAGCGUGGGGAGCAAACAGG